GUGCAGGUGAACUGUGGGAGUGUAGAGGCUUUCAGUAUCUGCACAUCCAAAGAAGAAGCAGGUAUAUUUUUGCGUGUGCUCCUGUGAAGAGGGUCUUCCUCUCCAGUGUCUCCCCUCCUGCGUGCUCCGUUCAGACCUCCUGCCAUUUAAUAAAAGAACAGAAGAAACUGAAGAGCGUGCGCUGCCGACUCCUCUGAUGAACAAAAGAAAACAACUUUUGUUCCCUGAGCUGAUCGUGGCUGACAGAAAUCAGCGUGGUAUCAGGAAACACACCAGGUGAUUUCUCUUUUAUCUGAAGAGUGAUGUUCUGCAGUUUAGUUCUCACCUCUGGUCUCAUUAAAGAAGAUUCUCCUGUUUUUAUCUUUCCUCACUGCGAGCGAGGUGUGGUUUGGAAUAUAUAUUGACAUCUGGCUGUGUAGCCCUGUUUUCACUGAGGGGUUAGAGGCCGGUCUAUUCUGUGUCUGGCUGAGCGAGCAUCGUCCUUCACUGAUCAAAGACCAAGAUAACAAUACUCAGAGUCACCUGGCGGCCGGCCUGCACAGACAAGACACCGAGGCUGGAGAAACACACUAACACUCCAGCUGGAGACUCCUCUCCAGAGUUACUUCACAUGCCGGUCGCUUCAAAUGGCACAGAGUGAUUUUUAUGUGAAAACCUUGAACUGUGAUGCUCAGAAAUCCAGCCGUGCCUCAUCAGUAAACUGCACGCAGCAGCUUGUGUUUACUCUCCCCGGCCGCUCUGCGCUGCUUUAUUCGAGGAAGGGAAGAGAUCUGACGCUGUUUGGUGCAGCUUUCUCUGAGCAAGAGACUCGCUCGCUGCUCAUCGUGAGGCAGUUUAGAUGUUGCUGUAGAAGAACACCAGGAGGGAGGUCAGCGACACGAGCAGCUCAGACGUAAGAAGAAAAUGUUGGCAUCCUAAAUUUCUGCAAAACCACGGCAAUGUUGGGUUUGUCUGUUUUAUACACAUCGACACUUGUACAAAACAUGUUCAGAUUUUUUUGCCAUUUGUCACUAUUUGAUAAUAGAAUACAGUGAGCU
Long non-coding RNA from Acanthopagrus latus (yellowfin seabream), 1037 nucleotides. RefSeq lists it as uncharacterized. NCBI's taxonomy places the organism in Eukaryota, Metazoa, Chordata, Actinopteri, Spariformes, Sparidae. The record is from RefSeq and is a predicted model, not a curated record. The transcript is spliced from 2 exons.